UGGGGAAUUUUGCACAAUGGGGGAAACCCUGAUGCAGCGACGCCGCGUGAUUUAGAAGGCCUUCGGGUUGUAAAAAUCUUUUUUACGGGAUGAAAAUGACAGUACCGUAAGAAUAAGGUCCGGCUAAAUACGUGCCAGCAGCCGCGGUAAUACGUAUGGACCGAGCGUUGUCCGGAAUCAUUGGGCGUAAAGGGUACGUAGGCGGCCUAGUAAGUUAGAAGUGAAAUAAUAUAGCUCAACUAUAUAAAGCUUUUAAAACUGCUAGGCUUGAGAGAUGGAAGGGAAAGUGGAAUUCCUAGUGUAGCGGUGAAAUGCGCAGAUAUUAGGAAGAAUACCGGUGGCGAAGGCGACUAUCUGGUCAUCAUCUGACGCUGAGGUACGAAAGCGUGGGUAGCAAACAGG
RNAcentral lists this ribosomal RNA (402 nucleotides) under bacterium. RNAcentral's name for it is "partial 16S ribosomal RNA". It matches the Rfam family "Bacterial small subunit ribosomal RNA", at positions 355 to 776 of the family's 1533-position model. The record is from RNAcentral.